UUCCGAAUUCUGACUGCCCAAUCUUUUACAAAGACUAUUCCACACCGUAGGUCUCUCCUGCUUCUCGGCUUCAAUGACACCACACCAGGUUUAAAAGAUGCAUUUUGGAGUUUUGCACUGUUGGACAUCCAAUUUAUGUGGUUGUGAGGAGCUGCUAAGCAGUUUAUCUUCUAUCCAUUUUAACGAUCAAAACUGAAUUCCAAUGAAACCCUUAUACUGCCCGUUGACAACGUGAAAAUGGGCCAAAUUUAUAGCCAGCUUUAUUAAAUGGGGUUGUAAACAAACUCCUCUGCAUAAAGCCCUGCAAGUUGAGUCAGGCUUUGAGGCCAAAAAAAAAAAAAAAAGAUAAAACACAGGACCUGAAAUCAUCCUGACUAAGCAAGAGGAUGCUCCAAGAGGUUCAAAAUAUCUGACUGGACGAGUUUGAAAGGCCUGUCCGCAGACUCCCAAAUCUAAGCCAUACCAAAGGAAAAUGCUGGGCAUUGUGUGGAUUCAAAAUUAAUUUGCUUUAUCAUUUCCUGCAACAGUAGUAAAAACUUUCCCCCCAGUUUCUAAAAGCAGCAAGAUUGGUGGUGGUUGUGGUCAUGAACAGCCAAUGAAUGAUUCAUUCUCGCUCAAGUGGAACCCAUGGGAAAUGUUGCCAAUAACUUGGUUUAUAUCUUAUCUUCAGUUCUCAGCAGACAACAUAUUCGUCUAUAUUUUUACAAGAGUCAUAAAUUUUUCAGUUAGUGUACAAAUCAUAACACUACGUGAUUCCAUUUGGUCUCCAUCCUCAGGGCUUUGGGAGAGGGUUAUCAACUUCAGCCACGUAAAUAACCAGGAGAAGAUAGAUUCUGGAAUGCUCUUAAAGAAGCCUUAAGACAUGACUUUUCUCCCUUCUCUCAUCCCAUUUCUUCACUGAAUACAUCAAACAGCUUCGUAUCUACACACCAAUAGAAAAUCCCAAACAGAGAAAAAUAACAUCAAGUCAACUCUGAUUCAUGGAGAG
Canis lupus familiaris (dog) is the source of this 988-nucleotide long non-coding RNA. RefSeq lists it as uncharacterized. The transcript is spliced from 3 exons. The record is from RefSeq and is a predicted model, not a curated record. NCBI's taxonomy places the organism in Eukaryota, Metazoa, Chordata, Mammalia, Carnivora, Canidae.